CCUACGGGGGGCAGCAGUGGGGAAUAUUGGACAAUGGGGGCAACCCUGAUCCAGCCAUGCCGCGUGUGUGAAGAAGGCCCUCGGGUUGUAAAGCACUUUCAGUGAGGAAGAACGCCUGGUGGUUAAUACCCAUCAGGAAAGACAUCACUCACAGAAGAAGCACCGGCUAACUCCGUGCCAGCAGCCGCGGUAAUACGGAGGGUGCGAGCGUUAAUCGGAAUUACUGGGCGUAAAGCGCGCGUAGGUGGCUUGAUAAGCCGGUUGUGAAAGCCCCGGGCUCAACCUGGGAACGGCAUCCGGAACUGUCAAGCUAGAGUGCAGGAGAGGAAGGUAGAAUUCCCGGUGUAGCGGUGAAAUGCGUAGAGAUCGGGAGGAAUACCAGUGGCGAAGGCGGCCUUCUGGACUGACACUGACACUGAGGUGCGAAAGCGUGGGUAGCAAACAGGAUUAGAUACCCCUGUAGUUC
RNAcentral lists this ribosomal RNA (466 nucleotides) under Vreelandella stevensii. RNAcentral describes it as "partial 16S ribosomal RNA". It matches the Rfam family "Bacterial small subunit ribosomal RNA", at positions 338 to 796 of the family's 1533-position model. The record is from RNAcentral. Lineage: Bacteria; Pseudomonadati; Pseudomonadota; Gammaproteobacteria; Oceanospirillales; Halomonadaceae.